UGGGGAAUAUUGCACAAUGGGGGAAACCCUGAUGCAGCGACGCCGCGUGAACGAAGAAGGUAUUCGUAUCGUAAAGUUCUGUCCUAUGGGAAGAUAAUGACGGUACCAUAGAAGAAAGCUCCGGCUAAAUACGUGCCAGCAGCCGCGGUAAUACGUAUGGAGCGAGCGUUGUCCGGAAUUAUUGGGCGUAAAGGGUACGCAGGCGGUUUAAUAAGUCGAAUGUUAAAGAUCGGGGCUCAACCCCGCAAAGCAUUGGAAACUGAUAAACUUGAGUAGUGGAGAGGAAAGUGGAAUUCCUAGUGUAGUGGUGAGAUACGUAGAUAUUAGGAGGAAUACCAGUAGCGAAGGCGACUUUCUGGACACAAACUGACGCUGAGGUACGAAAGCGUGGGGAGCAAACAGG
This 403-nucleotide ribosomal RNA is filed under the name bacterium. RNAcentral's name for it is "partial 16S ribosomal RNA". It matches the Rfam family "Bacterial small subunit ribosomal RNA", at positions 355 to 776 of the family's 1533-position model. The record is from RNAcentral.